RNAcentral lists this ribosomal RNA (254 nucleotides) under uncultured bacterium. RNAcentral's name for it is "partial 16S ribosomal RNA". It matches the Rfam family "Bacterial small subunit ribosomal RNA", at positions 524 to 776 of the family's 1533-position model. The record is from RNAcentral.
UACGGGGGGAGCAAACGUUGUUCGGAUUUACUGGGCGUAAAGGGCGCGUAGGCGGUCAGCACAAGACAGUUGUGAAAUCUCCGGGCUUAACUCGGAAAGGUCAACUGAUACUGUGCGACUAGAGUGCAGGAGAGGAAAGCGGAAUUCCCGGUGUAGUGGUGAAAUGCGUAGAUAUCGGGAGGAACACCAGAGGCGAAGGCGGCUUUCUGGCCUGUAACUGACGCUGAGGCGCGAAGGCUGGGGUAGCGAACAGG